CCAAGUUUUCAGGAAUCAAUUUCAGUACCUUGGAGGAAACUCCCCAGGAGGGUGUCGAAGCUUUAUUUUGCCAUGAGAGUGAUAGAAAGCUUUGAAGAGGCUGAGGGACGAAAUCCAGGGGAAAUUUCAAUGGAGGAUCUUCCUGCUGUUUUAAAGCUGAAAAAGGAACUUUGUGAGGCACAGUCGAUGAACGAAUCUCAUAUUCCUAAUGCCCUCCUGGAAAGAUUGGUGAUGGGUAAAAGAGAGUUCCCUCCAAUUUGUGCCAUCAUUGGAGGAAUCCUUGGACAGGAGGUAAUCAAAGCAAUAUCAGGCAAAGGUGAUCCUCUCCAGAAUUUUUUCUUCUUUGAUGCCAUGGACGGGAAAGGCGUAAUAGAGGAUAUAUCACCUCCUAACGUAUGAAAUUGUGCAUUUGUUUGUAAAUUUUAUUGUGGGGAACAGAUGAUGCAUGGGAUAAUUUUUAAUCUGAUGAUUUUCCAUGCUAGGAGAUAUUGACCCAAUGAUAGGAAUAUCAUUGACAGAUUUUUCAGCAGAUUUUGGACAUUAGAUUGUCGCUGAUGAACCUUUUAACUUGUGGCUCUCUGGUUGGAGCUUUUAUUUUUCUUAAUCAUGUUCAUACUGCUAAGUUAUGAUUGCAUUGCCAUGAUGCAACAUAUCUUGCAUGUGA
Molecule: unclassified non-coding RNA, 664 nt
Filed under: Hevea brasiliensis (rubber tree)
Lineage: Eukaryota; Viridiplantae; Streptophyta; Magnoliopsida; Malpighiales; Euphorbiaceae
Source: RNAcentral